RNAcentral lists this ribosomal RNA (665 nucleotides) under uncultured bacterium. Its description in RNAcentral is "bacterial SSU rRNA". It matches the Rfam family "Bacterial small subunit ribosomal RNA", at positions 126 to 807 of the family's 1533-position model. The record is from RNAcentral.
CUGCCUUUCAGAGGGGGAUAACGUUUGGAAACGAACGCUAAUACCGCAUGAUACUAUUGAGCUGCAUGGCUUGAUAAUCAAAGGAGCAAUCCGCUGAAAGAUGGGCUCGCGUCCGAUUAGGUAGUUGGCGGGGCAACGGCCCACCAAGCCGACGAUCGGUAGCCGGACUGAGAGGUUGAACGGCCACAUUGGGACUGAGACACGGCCCAGACUCCUACGGGAGGCAGCAGUGAGGGAUAUUGGUCAAUGGGGGAAACCCUGAACCAGCAACGCCGCGUGAGGGAAGACGGUUUUCGGAUUGUAAACCUCUGUCCUCUGUGAAGAUAAUGACGGUAGCAGAGGAGGAAGCUCCGGCUAACUACGUGCCAGCAGCCGCGGUAAUACGUAGGGAGCAAGCGUUGUCCGGAUUUACUGGGUGUAAAGGGUGCGUAGGCGGCUUUGCAAGUCAGAAGUGAAAUCCAUGGGCUUAACCCAUGAACUGCUUUUGAAACUGCAGAGCUUGAGUGGAGUAGAGGUAGGCGGAAUUCCCGGUGUAGCGGUGAAAUGCGUAGAGAUCGGGAGGAACACCAGUGGCGAAGGCGGCCUGCUGGGCUCUAACUGACGCUGAGGCACGAAAGCGUGGGUAGCAAACAGGAUUAGAUACCCUGGUAGUCCACGCUGUAAAC